UGUGCUCACAGUUCAAUGUCUCUAGAUUAUAGGCGUUAUGAGGACAGAGUACUGGUUUACAGUACAAAAUUCCUGGGACAUAGAACACUGCCCAGCACAAAUAAUGAUUUGAUCAAUAAUUGUUGAAGGAAUAGACUAAAUGAAGGAACUGACAACUCAAGGGAAAGAGUAAUGACUCCAUGAAAGAGCCAAAAAAGAAGAAAAAAAGUGUUAUGUUGCUAGCUUGCCAGAUGAGGAGGAAAACAAAUGGUAUUCCAACUCAACGAAUGAGGAAACAAAACCUCAGAGAGGUUAAUGACUACAUAUAGAUCUAGACCUGUGUGACCUUCCCAACACCCAGGAGAGACAGACACAGUCACAUCCCCACUUACAGAUGAAGACUUCAAGACGCAGAGCGGUGGAGGGACUUGCCCGAGUCCUGGAGCUGGGAGAACUCCCGAGACCCUGGGAUGGUGGCAUGGCCCCUGCACCUCCGCUGCCUCCCCCAUGGUGAAAGUACAGCACAGGCGGGGCUGCGAGAGAGCAGCGGAGAGAUUAUGCAGUAGCUAUCUUUGGAGGCGUCACUGCCCACGGUGUUUUUAGGAUGAAUAAUUGCUUGAAUUCCUCAAGGCUUUAUAAAUAGAUGGAGAGGUAAUUAUACACAGCAGGACAAAA
RNAcentral lists this long non-coding RNA (654 nucleotides) under Homo sapiens (human). RNAcentral describes it as "HSALNT0304891". Lineage: Eukaryota; Metazoa; Chordata; Mammalia; Primates; Hominidae. The record is from RNAcentral.